This is a long non-coding RNA of Gambusia affinis (western mosquitofish), 2274 nucleotides long. RefSeq lists it as uncharacterized. The record is from RefSeq and is a predicted model, not a curated record. The transcript has 3 exons. Lineage: Eukaryota; Metazoa; Chordata; Actinopteri; Cyprinodontiformes; Poeciliidae.
CGUCUUCGAACUCAUCCAGAACUUGGGCGGCGAGCUAGACGAAGAGAGAGUGGCACAAAAACAGCAGCAACAUUCGAAGGAGAAGUUUGAAGCUCUGCCUUAAAAUCUGAGCGAAACCAAAAACCCAACACCUGGCGGGAAGUCAUUGGAGACAACAGAACCGCCACAAGAACAAGACAGGCAGAAAACGGGCCAACUACGAUGACAGCAAGAGACACAGCAGCAGAUCCAUCCAGACGUUUGGAGCCAAGUCACAGGUCAGCAGUGUAAACCACUUGGCUGUGUUUCCUGAAGCCCACCCGCUGCCAAAAUGUCAGGUGAGAAAACGGAGAGCUGAGUGUCACCGUGAAACCGCGCACGGGCUUCUCAUUGCACUUGGCUGCCGGACGACAUGACGACCAAGGUGGACUUUGCAUUUCUGGCACCAUGUGAGACAGUAACUGUCCACUGCUUACUGUAUGCACAUUAGCUGACACAUUGGUUCAUCAGGUUUAGCUUGGCAUGAGCUGUGCUUGUUGCAAACAGCAUACUGAUGGAAAUAAUAUUACUGUUAACAUGGAUUCAGGCGGAAUCAAAUGUAGCUGGACAAACCGUAAUAAUGACCUCUCACUCUGGGUUUUAAGAUUUCUCCUUAGUGAUCAGGACACUGCUUCCUGCUUUGUAUGCAAAUGCCACCAAGUGGUAUGAGUAGCACAUCGGGAUGUGUACAGGUCCUUCUGCAAUAUCACAAAUUCAUCUAAUCAAUUGGACUUCCAUAGUAUUUAGUCAUCAGCAUUGUUACGAAUCAUCUGAAUCUAUUUUGUCGUUAUUUCAGCUGUAAACUCUUCAUCAGCUUCAUUGACACUCACUCAAAUCAGAUGUGAUUUUAGAGAAGAAACUGAGAAUAAAUAACGUCGGGAAAAGUAACUGCACAGAGAGUUGAGAAACAAAUCCAUAUAACAACACAACAAUAAAACACAUAAGAGCUUGUGUACCAAUUUAUUUAUUUAUUUAUUUAUUUAUUUAUUUAUUUGCCCACACACACAGGGCUUCCUAAAGGGCAGUUGGUGCUGUGAGGGAAAGAAAACGAGGCUAGGCGCCCAACUAGCUCAUCAAACCUGCUAAUGUCCGUUCAGAUUGUGGGAAAUGAAGGAAUUUGUCACGAGACAUGUAGGCCAUCAAUACGCUUGACGAAGAAAUCUCAACCUGCCGCGGAUAGUACGUGCAAAGUCCACAGAACACACACAGAACGGUCGAGGUUGUGGCCUUAAAUUAAUCCUUCACAUUUCUACUGAAGGCGCCGCUUGGCUAAUCCGUUUGAUCAACUUUCAAACAACGGUUAAACAUUAUCAGAUGUUUAUUUCUCACUUUUUGACUUCAUUUCCACACUGCUUAGUCAAAGGAUAACACAAUUUUUUAGGGAUACACCAAUGUAAAAAUUUGGUCCGAUACCGAUACUCGAUAUUAAUAUUGCUUUUAUGGUCGGUGACCGAUAUUUACUGAUAUUCUAGGUUUUUCACUACCACUUUGACAUAUUUGGGAAACAAAACCCGACCAGAAACAGAGAGCAACAAGAUAAAAAUGAACAUCAGUUGUUUAUAUUGGCCCAGUUAUACUUAUCAGACCGAUACCCAUAUUUUAAAAAAGAAUUACUAAUAUUGACCGAUACUGAUGUUGGUGUCAAUAUAUCGUGCAUCUCUGCAAGUUUUUCUAGCUUUUUAAACUAUAUUUUUUUGUGUAAGCAUUUACUUUAAAGCAUUGUCACCGGCCACACCAUGCAGCAUGCGCUGUCAAUAAAUGUCAAACUAGUCAGUUUGAUCUGUUGUUUUUUUCUACAGUCCAAAGUGACUCAGAGUUUUUUUUACAUGGCUCCUUAGUUUGAUUUUUCAGAAAGAAGUCGAUGACUCACGCACGUUUGCGUGGGUGUGGGUGCAUGUGUGUGUGUGUGUGUGCGUCGUCCUAUGAUGUAAGGUACUCAGGUUUGACCCAAGGGACACAAACUCAACCAGCUGUAGCUUUUACACAAGGUGCGGAAAACGGCCAGCUGUCAUCUUUCAAAAGGAAACCAAAGUCGAAACUUUCAGGGUCAGAGAAGUUUACAAAUGCAUUUUAAACAUAUUAAACCUCAAAACAAAGUUUGGGUUUGUUCAUUCUAACAUCAAGCAAUCUGUGUUUCAACAUUUCAGAGGUAAGUAAAAUUGUAUUGAUAAAAAUAUGAUGAUUUUAGCUGAUGAAGUGUUUUAGCCUUUGAACUUUAGUCACAUUUACCAUAAAGCACAUUUACCUGUAUAUAAC